RNAcentral lists this ribosomal RNA (470 nucleotides) under uncultured bacterium. RNAcentral describes it as "bacterial SSU rRNA". It matches the Rfam family "Bacterial small subunit ribosomal RNA", at positions 28 to 499 of the family's 1533-position model. The record is from RNAcentral.
GAUGAACGCUGGCGGCGUGCUUAACACAUGCAAGUCGAACGGGAAAUAUUUCAUUGAGACUUCGGUGGAUUUGAUCUAUUUCUAGUGGCGGACGGGUGAGUAACGCGUGGGUAACCUGCCUUAUACAGGGGGAUAACAGUCAGAAAUGGCUGCUAAUACCGCAUAAGCGCACAGAGCUGCAUGGCUCAGUGUGAAAAACUCCGGUGGUAUAAGAUGGACCCGCGUUGGAUUAGCUAGUUGGUGGGGCAACGGCCCACCAAGGCGACGAUCCAUAGCCGGCCUGAGAGGGUGAACGGCCACAUUGGGACUGAGACACGGCCCAGACUCCUACGGGAGGCAGCAGUGGGGAAUAUUGCACAAUGGGGGAAACCCUGAUGCAGCGACGCCGCGUGAAGGAAGAAGUAUCUCGGUAUGUAAACUUCUAUCAGCAGGGAAGAUAGUGACGGUACCUGACUAAGAAGCCCCGGCUA